This is an RNA transcript of Carassius gibelio (silver crucian carp), 7036 nucleotides long. It is a transcript of the gene named rho GTPase-activating protein SYDE2, with no coding region annotated. Lineage: Eukaryota; Metazoa; Chordata; Actinopteri; Cypriniformes; Cyprinidae. The record is from RefSeq and is a predicted model, not a curated record. The transcript has 9 exons.
UGUGUGUGUGUGUGUGUGUGAGAGAGAGAGAGAGAGAGAGAGAGAGAGAGAGAGAAUGUGUGUGCGCGUGUGAUGUGAUGUCAGUGGAUCAUGGAGCCUCGCUCUGACCGCGGUGUGUCGGAGUCUCCUGGCCGCACGGACGCGCUUCUAACUCGGUUACUUUUGCUGCGGAGCCCCGCUGAACGGAGCUAAAGCUGGAGUGUCGGAUCGGUACCGAUGGCUGAUCCUCUGCGGAGGACAAUUCUAGCCAAACUCAGGGGCAAGAAGCCCAAAGGGAAAGACGCGGGAGAAGGUAAAGAAAAAGUUUCUCAAACGCAGACAGAGAGAGAUUACAUUUCACAUGCGAUGAUGUGCGAGGAGCGGCGUGUGAACGCGGAUCCCCGGCGCGCGGAGCGGGUCACCGGCGGCCCGGUGAACGCGCACGGAGGUCCCGCUGAUCAAAGGGAACGCGGAGACUCGAUCGGCUUCAGCGGCUGCGGUUUCAAACCCCGACGAGAGGCUUUAAAGCUAACAGAUGGUCAAGAUCUACAGAGUAAACAACCAAAUGCUGCACCACUCGAGCAAAAGGCCGGGGACAACAUGAGCGACUUUGAACGUCACGUCAGGGUUCCCCAGCCUCACGUGUGUGACGCGGAAAGCGAUUUAAUCCAGCUCAUAGAGAGUUCCCUGGAGUAUCAUGGAGAUUUUAGGAUACAGGGUCCGACUUUUUUCCCCACUGAUCUGGAAAUAACCGUGUCCCCCGGGCUGAGAGACGGGGCCCCUCGACACCACUCGGUCGAGAGCGAGGACGACGAUUAUUACGAUAACCAGAUUCUGUCCUUUUAUGACGUCAAAGAGCGGAACACGUCAAUAUCGGCGUCGGACGCGAGCGAAACCGACAGACUGAAGUCCCAGCUGAAAGACGCGUAUUAUUUGCUGAUAAACGCGACGCACGGGAUCAGUGUCGACGGUCAGCUCGAAGAUCACGGGUUCGGGGAUCAGUCCAGCAGCGCGUCCCACGACAGCGUCAGCACAGAGAGCGAUUCCGCUUCAGCGUUCUCCGCGUUCCUGACGCAGAGCAGGAGCUUGCGGAACAUUCGCGACGCGCGUCCCAAGCCGACGCUCCAGCGGUCGGUGAGCGAUAGCGAGGUGAAGUACGCGUCGAACCGCGAUGAAGAGCCGCGACGCGCCGUCGCAUCGGGUCUCGAUGUGCAACAGGUGGAUCCUACGCAAAACCUCCCGACGCCUGCGUCAUCGCGUCAAUCCUGCGACGACGCAGCGGUGCCCAAACACCCCGGAGUCACCGUCAACAAGAUGCAAGAGUGGAUGCAGAGAGGUCGCGUGCUGUCGUCCGAGAUGAAGCAGAGGAUCGCGGGCUCCAAGCUGAGAGCCAGUCACGUGAUGCAGCAGACAGCACCACUGGAGUUCGUCUCCGGUCCGUCUGUAUUUCAGCGAGACUCCAGCGCACAACAGGCUCCGUUCAACCACAUCACUGUCUCCAAAAAACGGCAGUGGCUCCAUCAGAGCUGCGCUCGGCCCGUCCUGAAGCCCGAGGACGUCACAGCGCCCCCUUCAGCCGAGGAGGAGCACACACACCCACAAACACACCCUCCAUCGAACAAUAACUCACGUCUAACAGACAAAGAAGCGCCGAACCCAGCCGAGGAUAGGGAGGGAGAGAUCUGGUACAACCCCAUCCCGGAGGAUGAAGAGGCCGAUCUUCCGAACUGUGUUCCCAAAAUCAGAAUCCUGACGGGACGAGGAGGAGCGGAUCGAGACGAAAGACAGACGCAGGAGGAGAGCAGACCCACAGAUCCUUCAGAGCAAUCCACUGGUGGACUUUCUCUCUCUUCUACUCCCAGUCCAGCUAAAAGGAGCACUGCUAUCAACUGGUCUUUUCCCGAUAGAAUCAAGUCACCACGGACUGUCCGAAAACUGUCCAUGAAGAUGAAGAAACUGCCUGAUCUGAGUCGGAAGCUUAGUGUUAAAGGGACCCCUUCUAGCACUGUGGCCAUCAGCAACAGCCAAUCAGAAACCAGGGCGCACUCACCUACAGCCAAUGGGUUGGCAGAGUUGGGCAAGUCCCAGCCCAGACGGUCCCCGGCGGGUGUGAUGACUGCAUUGGCGAGUGGUAAUGUUAUUUGGCGAUACCAUCUCGACAGCAGUGUUUCUACGCAGCACAACUUUGACAAGAGAAGGAGCAACACCAGUGGCGUUCCCAAAUCGGCCAGUAAGGGAGGUUACCUAAGUGAUGGAGACUCACCUGAACUUGUAGCCAAGUCUGGCAGGCACGGGAACUCGGAAAGAAAGAACGGGAAAGCCCGGGACAGGGAUCCCAAUGGGAAUGGUGGAAGUCCGAAGCUCCCUGGUACGGAGCUGGAUAUCGAUGCCUUCCGUUCGUACAGUUUCUCAGAGCAGCCAAAGUCGUUAACGUACAUCUCUGGACUAAUGAGUCUGCACUUUUAUGGCGCAGAGGACCUGAAGCCACCGCGGGUUGAUUCUCGUGAUGUUUACUGCGCCAUCCAGGUGGACUCUGUCAACAAAGCUCGUACAGCCUUGCUGACCUGUCGGACGGCCUUCCUUGGCAUGGACCACACCUUCAACAUUGAGCUGGAGAACGCUCAGCACCUCAAACUUGUCGUCUUCAGCUGGGAGUCAAUGCCACGAAGGAAUCGAGUGUGUUGCCAUGGAACUGUGGUUCUCCCGACCCUGUUUCGUGUGAGAAAGACGCACCUGCUUGCAAUCCGCCUGGAACCACGUGGAAUGAUCUACGUGAAGCUGAGCCUCAUGGAGCAGAGGCAGACCUCUCUUGAUGGACAGGAGGGGGAUCAUGAAAUGCAGGUGUUUGGCCUAGAGGCUCGGCGCGUGGUGGAACGGGAAGCUUCAGGAUUAAUGGUUCCACUGCUCAUCGAGAAAUGCAUCUCUGAGAUCGAGAGGCGGGGUUGUCAGGUGGUGGGUCUGUAUCGUCUGUGCGGUUCGGCUGCGGUGAAGAAGGAGCUGCGGGAAGCGUUCGAGAGAGACAGUCACUCCGUCGAGCUCUCGGAAAACAACUACCCUGAUGUUAACGUCAUUACAGGCGUGCUGAAGGACUAUCUCCGAGAGCUUCCUCAUCCUCUCAUCUCGAAGCCUCUCUACGAGUCUGUUCUGGACUCGAUGGCCAAGAGGCCGCUGCAGAUGGAGAGCGGCGUCUGUGAGAACGACCCGGCAGACUCGGAUCACGCCGUCGGCUCACUGCGGAUCCUGCCGGAGGUUGAGAAGGCGACCCUGCGGAAGCUUCUGGAUCACCUGAAGCGCGUGGCGUCCCAUCACGAGGUCAAUAAGAUGACCUGUCAGAACCUGGCGGUGUGUUUCGGGCCGGUUCUGCUCGGUCAGAGACCCGAGGCGUCCUGCCACGGGAAGCGGGUCUUCAUCGACUCCGAGGAGCUUGCAAGCGCUCUGCACUUCAAGGAACACAUCGAGGUCCUUCAUUACCUGCUCCAGCUCUGGCCAGUUGUGAAUGCUCAGAGUGAAUCUUCUACUUCAGUUCCUGCCCCAGCGGAGUCGCUCCCAGCAACAACAUCUGCCGUAAGAAGGAGGAAAGAGCGUCCACAGGUGGUGAAUCUAACCGAUGAGGACAUGGCAGGUGUUUUGAGGCCGAGAGUUGGCCGCCUGGACAGUCCCAGUAACCGCUACGCCGGGGACUGGAGUGGAUGCCAGGAAACAUACCUCCAACCGACUUCCCCAGAGGAGGCAGACUAUGACGAGGUUCCCACCGAAGAUCCUCCAAACACAGGACAGGAGGACUUAUCAAAGGGUACUGGAGAUGUAAUCUCCAUACAAGAGUUACCCGAGGUGGACGAGGCAGUGGAGAGGGUUGAGGAAAUGCAGAUAGAAGAGGAAGAGAGUGAAGAAGAGAAUACAGAAGUUUUGGACAAGCUACAAGUUGAGGAACCACUUUCCAUCAGCCUCUGCGAUCAGAUCCUUUCUGAUCACAAGGAGCACAGACCCUACCAUCCCUACAUGAAGAUUCAGGAGAUAAGCCCAGUCCUAAACAACAGGAUCAACCUGCGGGACCUGCAGGAGAGCAUUGACACUCUUAUCGGCAACCUGGAAAGGGAGCUCAACAAGAACAAGCUCAACAUAGGGUACUGACUCUUUAACCGUACGGUCGAGAUAUGCUAGUGAUUGCCUAGAUACAUCAGCGCUACGUGACUUUCUUGCUCCCAUGCAAACUUGGGAUGCAUGUACAAGAAGACAUUCCUCACUUGGGAUUUGUGUUUUCAUUUGUUUCCUGGUCUCCAUGUUGUUGAGCUCAUCGUUUUUCUUCUUAUGAGAAGAACUCUGUGAACCCUGAGGGGUGCACCAGGUGCCUUCAUUUGUGUUACAACCGCAAGAGCUUUUUUACUUUCUACAGAUGUACAAAACAUUACGAUGAAAGCAAUGCACUUAUGGGGCCUGCUGUUAAAUGCAUGGCCAGUUCAGGUACAGGGGUGAAGCCUUAUGAUGAGAGAACUAGAUACUGUAGAUACUUCCCUAUACCAUGGGUCCUGUUCAUGGAGAUCUAGCUUCCACUUCAGUUUCAACCCUACAAACACCAGAUAAUCAGGGUCUUGGGGUUCCCUUAAAGAGGUAGACCACAAGAGCAGGAUUGAGUACCAUAUCCUAACCCCAGCCCUAUGACUCUGAACACUACAUCAGGGAUUUGAAUGCAAAUUACCUACAGAGGAGAUGGUGUUAGACUCCCUAAACUCUGAAUGCUAUAUCCAAACCCUAACCCGGCUCUAAACAAGGGGUGUCCCGUCCUACCUCUGGAAAGCCACCUUCAUCUCUAGCUCUAAUUAAACACACUUAAUCCAGGUAAUCAAGGUCUUGGAAUUCACUUAAAGAGGAGGUAGAUCACCAAGUUCAGAAUUGAGCACCCGACCCAGAACCCUACAUCAGGGUACUUAAAAGCAAUUUACCUAGUGAGGUGGUUUUAGUUGGUAAUAUAAAAUCCCUGCACUGUACUCCCUAAACUCUGAAUGUUAUAUCCUAACCUUACCCUAAACCUUACACCCACACCCACUGGUGUUCACUCCUGGACCUGGAUAUCCGGCUUCCUACAGUCUUCACCCUUUAAACACUCUUGAACAAGCUAAACAAGUUCUUGGGAUUUGCUUAAAGAGGAGGUAGAUCACCAAGAGUCUAAUUGAGCACCCGACCCUGAACCCUACAUCAGGGUACUUAAAAGCAAAUUUCCUAGUGAGGUGGUGUUAGUCGGUAAUAUAAAAUCCCUGCACUAUAUGUUAUACCACUAUAUGUUAUGUCUUCAGUCCUGGACCUGGAUAUCCGGCUUCCUACAGUCUUCAUGUAUUAAACACUCUUGAACAAGCUAAACAAGUUCUUGAGAUUUGCUUAAAGAGGAGGUAGAUCACCAAAAGUGGAAUUGAGCACCCAACCCUGAACCCUACAUCAGGGUACUUGAACGCAAUUUACCUAGUGAGAUGGUGUUAGUUGGUAAUAUAAAAUCCCUACAAUGCACUCCCUAAACUCUGAAUGUUAUAUCUUAACCCUAUCCUAAACCUUACACCCACACUACUGUGUUCAGUCCUGGUCCUGGAUAUCCGGCUUUCUACAGUCUUCACGCUUUAAACACACGAGCUAAACAAGUUCUUGGGAUUUGCUUAAAGAGGAAGGUAGAUCACCAGGAGCAGGAUUAAGCACCCCAACACAACAACCCUUAACCUUUUUUCAGGGGUCUCAAAUGCAAAAUACCUAGUGUUUGCUGGUAGUUUGAGAUCCUUGCAACAUACUCUCUAAACUCUGAAUGCUAUAUCCUAGCCUUAACCCUAUCCUUACCCUUACACCCUAAACAAGGGAUGCCUAGUCAUGUUCCUAUUAUCGUUUAACUUUCAUGCAGUUGCGUUGAAGAUAAAUUUAGCUUGAAGGUGGCUCUUCAGUAGCAGUAUCGAACACCCAACAUCCCUUCGAUUCAGGGAGCGACUAACGCUGCUGGGCAAGUUGAGGUUGUGGUCGUAAAAGAAUAAAACUGUGACUGUUUAAGCUUUUUUUCCUUAUAAAUAAAUAAAAAUAAAAUAUUUCAGACGUCCCCUUAAACAAGCUAUGGACAGCUGAAGAUGAAUAUGCUUGUAGUAAGUAGUAAAAUACAUAUUUAAUAAUAGUCAGGCAGAACUUUAAUGCAAGGUUUUAUGACUACAUUUUAACUUAAAAUUGUUAACGUUUAUUUUGCCGCUAAACACAUACUGAGUGGGUAAAAUUUCACUUUAAAUUAAAAGAGCAAUCUAGUCCCUCCAUGGUAACCACCUUUUGAUCAUUUUAUUUGUAAAUGCAUCAUAGUGCGCAGUCCAGGGAUACAAACUCAUCAGUAUUUGACAGACACAUGUAUGUGUAAAUACAGUCGGAAUAUGUAUUUUUGAUUACAUAUACUUCAGUUUGUGCAUAUGUUCAUCAACUACCUUGUAGUAUUUGGCCUGUAGAUCAGCCUUAAAUAAAUGAGUGUGUAUAUAUAUAUAUGUAGUUAUAGUUGGAUUUAUGUAAUAUUAUAACCCACAGUCACAGAACAUGGAGGGAUUCUGGGUAAUUUGUGGUCACGAAAGUGCAGGAAAUUUGAGCAUUGCAUGGUCAAAAGCUUUACGGUCAAAAAUAAAGUGUAUCUCAGUGUCUCCUACAGCAGGACGUAUUUAUGCGUGUAAAUAGAGAUUAUUUUAAUUACAGUGAAAUCGUUUUUUUCUACAUUUGGCAGCUGCUAGUGUUUAUGGCUCGGUUGUAAAUGUGCAGGUCUUGUGGAUGUAAGACUGAAUCUUUACAUGAGCUGUUUGUUUUCUGACUGUGCUUCUCAAUGGACAAUGCUACGGUCUGGUUGAAAAUAUAAUUUUAAGUCUAAAUAAAGUAUUUGUUACACAGGAAAUGGAAAAUAGAAACAAGUGAAAUAAUUUGGGUCGACGGGAGGUUCGUUCGGUUGCUGUAGCCUUCGUUUUCUCUCAGUGGGGACGGUCACACUAGAUUUUAGGUAUGCACCUUUUUUGCAUACAUUUUUGCUAUAUAUAUAUACAGUACAGACCAAAAGUUUGAAAACAUU